GAACUUGAGAGUUUGAUCCUGGCUCAGAGCGAACGCUGGCGGCAUGCUUAACACAUGCAAGUCGCACGGGUGGUUUCGGCCAUCAGUGGCGG
Molecule: ribosomal RNA, 92 nt
Filed under: Muricoccus pecuniae
Lineage: Bacteria; Pseudomonadati; Pseudomonadota; Alphaproteobacteria; Acetobacterales; Roseomonadaceae
Description: Roseomonas sp. N75 Bacterial small subunit ribosomal RNA
Rfam family: Bacterial small subunit ribosomal RNA
Source: Rfam by way of RNAcentral